Molecule: microRNA precursor, 112 nt
Organism: Chlorocebus sabaeus (green monkey)
Lineage: Eukaryota; Metazoa; Chordata; Mammalia; Primates; Cercopithecidae
Source: Ensembl
UGAGGCAGGAGAAUCGCUUGAACCCAGGAGGUGGAGGUUGCAGUGAGCCGAGAUCGCACCACUGCACUCCAGCCUGGGUGACAGCAAGACUCCUUCUCAAUAAAAAAGAAAA